CCUACGGGAGGCUGCAGUGGGGGAUAUUGCACAAUGGGGGAAACCCUGAUGCAGCGACGCCGCGUGUAGGAAGACGGUCCUCUGGAUUGUAAACUACGGUCCCCAGGGACGAAGAUGACGGUACCUGGGGAGGAAGCUGCGGCUAACUACGUGCCAGCAGCCGCGGUAAUACGUAGGGGGCAAGCGUUAUCCGGAUUUACUGGGUGGAAAGGGAGAGUAGACGGCGCUGCAAGUCCGGAGUGAAAGCCCAUGGCUUAACCAUGGUACUGCUCUGGAAACUGUGGAGCUUGAGUGCGGGAGGUGCAGGCGGAAUUCCUAGUGUAGCGGUGAGAUGCGUAGAUAUUAGGAGGCACACCGGCGGCGAAGGCGGCCUGCUGGACCGUAACUGACGUUGAGGCUCGCAAGCGUGGGGAGCAAACAGGAUUAGAUACCCUUGUAGUC
This 441-nucleotide ribosomal RNA is filed under the name uncultured bacterium. RNAcentral describes it as "partial 16S ribosomal RNA". It matches the Rfam family "Bacterial small subunit ribosomal RNA", at positions 338 to 795 of the family's 1533-position model. The record is from RNAcentral.